UCGUAGUGGAAGAGGCUCAAGUGGAGGCUCGAUUUGGUCUGCUCGGAUAUAGUGCUAAUCUUGAUGCAAGAUAGUUGCACAGUUUGCAUGGAACGUACCAUAUGUUAAUAAAUCAAUUUGGACGCACCCAAUGGAACUCCUAGAUGAUGUGUGUCAUAUGGAAUCUCGCUUCGGUCUAUUUGGAGACAAUGUUAGUUUCAGUGCAAGAUAGGUGCAUAGUUUGUGCCUAAUGCACCAUAGUCUAAGAAACCAUUUUUGACGCACGUGUUUCUACUCCUAGAUGAAGAGGCUCAAGUGGAAGCUCGUUUCGGUCUAUUUGGAGACAGUGCUAGUCUUGAUGCAAGAUAGGUGCACGGUUUGCAUGGAACAUACCAUAUGCUUGGAAAUCAAUUUGGAUGCACCUGAUGGGACUCCUUGAUGACGUGUGUCAUAUGGAAUCUCGCUUUGGUCUAUUUAGAAACAGUGUUAGUUUCGGUGCA
Molecule: long non-coding RNA, 479 nt
Filed under: Sorghum bicolor (sorghum)
Lineage: Eukaryota; Viridiplantae; Streptophyta; Magnoliopsida; Poales; Poaceae
Description: long non-coding RNA (SBIC_LNC018549)
Source: RNAcentral